This 229-nucleotide ribosomal RNA is filed under the name uncultured bacterium. RNAcentral describes it as "partial 16S ribosomal RNA". It matches the Rfam family "Bacterial small subunit ribosomal RNA", at positions 568 to 796 of the family's 1533-position model. The record is from RNAcentral.
CAUGUAGGCGGCAUGACAAGUCUGGUGUGAAAUAUCUCGGCUCAACCGAGGAAACGCACUGGAAACUGUCAAGCUUGAGUAUCGGAGGGGAAGCUAGAAUUCCUGGUGUAGGGGUGAAAUCUGUAGAUAUCAGGAAGAAUACCGGUGGCGAAGGCGAGCUUCUGGCCAGAUACUGACGCUGAGAUGCGAAAGCGUGGGGAGCGAACAGGAUUAGAUACCCUGGUAGUCC